Molecule: ribosomal RNA, 465 nt
Filed under: uncultured bacterium
Lineage: Bacteria
Description: partial 16S ribosomal RNA
Rfam family: Bacterial small subunit ribosomal RNA
Source: RNAcentral
GACGAACGCUGGCGGCGUGCUUAACACAUGCAAGUCGUACGGUAAGGCCCUUUCGGGGGUACACGAGUGGCGAACGGGUGAGUAACACGUGAGUAACCUGCCCACAACUUUGGGAUAACGCUAGGAAACUGGUGCUAAUACUGGAUAUGUGCUCCUGCUGCAUGGUGGGGGUUGGAAAGCUCCGGCGGUUGUGGAUGGGCUCGCGGCCUAUCAGCUUGUUGGUGGGGUAGUGGCCUACCAAGGCGGCGACGGGUAGCCGGCCUGAGAGGGUGACCGGCCACAUUGGGACUGAGAUACGGCCCAGACUCCUACGGGAGGCAGCAGUGGGGAAUAUUGCACAAUGGGCGCAAGCCUGAUGCAGCAACGCCGCGUGCGGGAUGACGGCCUUCGGGUUGUAAACCGCUUUCAGCAGGGACGAAGCUUUUUGUGACGGUACCUGCAGAAGAAGCACCGGCUAACUACGUG